GACGAACGCUGGCGGCGUGCCUAAUACAUGCAAGUUGAGCGCUGAAGGUUGGUACUUGUACCAACUGGAUGAGCAGCGAACGGGUGAGUAACGCGUGGGGAAUCUGCCUUUGAGCAGGGGACAACAUUUGGAAACGAAUGCUAAUACCGCAUAAAAACUUUAAACACAAGUUUUAAGUUUGAAAGAUGCAAUUGCAUCACUCAAAGAUGAUCCCGCGUUGUAUUAGCUAGUUGGUGAGGUAAAGGCUCACCAAGGCGAUGAUACAUAGCCGACCUGAGAGGGUGAUCGGCCACAUUGGGACUGAGACACGGCCCAAACUCCUACGGGAGGCAGCAGUAGGGAAGCUUCGGCAAUGGACGAAAGUCUGACCGAGCAACGCCGCGUGAGUGAAGAAGGUUUUCGGAUCGUAAAACUCUGUUGGUAGAGAAGAACGUUGGUGAGAGUGGAAAGCUCACCAAGUGACGGUAACUACCCAGAAAGGGACGGCUAACUACGUG
This 497-nucleotide ribosomal RNA is filed under the name uncultured bacterium. RNAcentral describes it as "partial 16S ribosomal RNA". It matches the Rfam family "Bacterial small subunit ribosomal RNA", at positions 28 to 507 of the family's 1533-position model. The record is from RNAcentral.